GUAGGGUAAUGGCCUACCAAGGCGACGAUGGGUAGCCGGCCUGAGAGGGUGUCCGGCCACACUGGGACUGAGAUACGGCCCAGACUCCUACGGGAGGCAGCAGUCGAGAAGCUUCGGCAAUGGGCGAAAGCCUGACCGAGCGAUGCCGCGUGAGUGAAGAAGGCCCUAUGGGUUGUAAAGCUCUGUCAGAUUGGGAAGAAAAUCCUGCGGUUAAUACCCGUGGGACUUGACGGUACCAUCAGAGGAAGCACCGGCUAACUCCGUGCCAGCAGCCGCGGUAAUACGGAGGGUGCAAGCGUUGUUCGGAUUCACUGGGUAUAAAGGGUGCGCAGGCGGCCUGAUAAGUCAGAGGUGAAAUAUGUCGGCUCAACCGGCAAACGGCCUCUGAAACUGUCAGGCUUGAGUUCGAGAGAGGUAGGUGGAAUUCCAGGUGUAGCGGUGAAAUGCGUAAAUAUCUGGAGGAACACCGGUGGCGAAGGCGGCCUACUGGCUCGAUACUGACGCUCAGGCACGAAAGCAUGGGGAGCGAACGGGAUUAGAUACCCCGGUAGUCCAUGCCGUAAACGAUGGGUACUAGGUGUUGGAGGAUUCUACCCCUUCAGUGCCGCAGCUAACGCAUUAAGUACCCCACCUGGGGAGUACGAUCGCAAGGUUGAAACUCAAAGGAAUUGACGGGGGCCCGCACAAGCGGUGGAGCAUGUGGUUUAAUUCGAUGCAACGCGAAGAACCUUACCUGGGCUUGACAUGCAGGGGACAGAUGUAGAAAUACAUCCUUCUUCGGACUCCUGUACAGGUGCUGCAUGGCUGUCGUCAGCUCGUGUCGUGAAAUGUUGGGUUAAGUCCCGCAACGAGCGCAACCCUUGUCUUUAGUUGCCAUCAGGUAAUGCUGGGGACUCUAGAGAGACUGCCGGUGACAAACCGGAGGAAGGUGGGGACGACGUCAAGUCAUCAUGGCCCUUACGCCCAGGGCUACACACGUGCUACAAUGGUCGGUACAAAGGGCAGCAAUACAGCGAUGUGGAGCGAAUCCCAAAAAGCCGGCCUCAGUUCGGAUCGUAGUCUGCAACUCGACUACGUGAAGUUGGAAUCGCUAGUAAUCGCGUAUCAGAACGACGCGGUGAAUACGUUCCCGGGCCUUGUACACACCGCCCGUCAAGUCAACCGAGUUGGCUGCACCCC
RNAcentral lists this ribosomal RNA (1179 nucleotides) under uncultured bacterium. RNAcentral's name for it is "bacterial SSU rRNA". It matches the Rfam family "Bacterial small subunit ribosomal RNA", at positions 252 to 1423 of the family's 1533-position model. The record is from RNAcentral.